Molecule: non-coding RNA, 580 nt
Organism: Callithrix jacchus (white-tufted-ear marmoset)
Lineage: Eukaryota; Metazoa; Chordata; Mammalia; Primates; Cebidae
Source: RefSeq, a predicted model, not a curated record
AUGUCGCACAAACAAAUUUACUAUUCGGACAAAUACGACAACAAGGAGUUUGAGUAUCAGCAUGUCAUGUCAUGGUGCUCAAGGACAUAGCCAAGCUGGUCCCUAAAACCCAUUUGAUGUCUGAAUCUGAAUGGAAAAAUCUUGGUGGUCAGCAGAGUCAGGGAUGGGUCCAUUAUAUGAUCCAUGAACCAGAACCUCAAUUCUUACUGUUCCGGUGCCCACUACCCAAGAAGCCCAAGAAAUGAAGCUGGCAAGCCACUUUCCAGCCUCAGGCUUUACAUAGCUGUCCUUACUUCCUAACAUCUUUCUGAUGACAUUAUUAUGUUAUCUUCUUGGUUCUCACUUUGAUAUUUAAAAGAUGUUCAAUACACUGUUUGAAUGUGCUGGUAACUGCUUUGCUUCUUGAGUAGAGCCACCACCACCAUAGCCCAGCCAGAUGAGUGCUUUGUGGACCCAAAGCCUCAGCUGAGUGUGACCCCAAAAGCCACGGUGUGCUGUGUAUCCAGAACACGCUUGGCAGAUGAAGGAAGCAUCUGAGAUUAAGACCAUGGCAGUUACAGGAAUUAUGAAACUUGUUAUU